Molecule: non-coding RNA, 893 nt
Organism: Phascolarctos cinereus (koala)
Lineage: Eukaryota; Metazoa; Chordata; Mammalia; Diprotodontia; Phascolarctidae
Source: RefSeq, a predicted model, not a curated record
GAAUGAUUGCCUCUCACGUGCUGACACCAAGCUUCUCUUAAUGCUGCCCAAGAUCAUGUGCAAGAGAGUGACCUGUUUCGACUUCAGCAAUGUUGAAGGUUCUGAAGAGGUGAAAACAAUGAAGAUAAAAUGUAAAGGACCCCUACAGGAAUCUGGGAAAUGUAACCCAUAAGUGAGGUUGGAACCCUACUCUGAACCAGGAAGAAUUGCUAAACGGGACAGGCUAUACCUCUCCCACCUUUGCCUGGGAGUUGACAAACCUCUUACCUAAGGCCCUGAGAGAGUCAAAGAGAAGACUAAAGAUUUCUUCAUUUUUCAAAGAUUAUAGUCGUACUCCGCUGAAAAAAGAGUACUAUAAUACCCAGUGAAACCAGAAGCUGGAUAUGAUGGAGGUGGCAGACGCCUAUUUAAAAGUGGUUUAGGAAGUCCAGUGAAUCGACCCUUCCACAGAGAGGUUGCAUCUUCUGAAGAACCAUCUCAGUGGUGAAUGAGGAACUGUUCUGGGUGAGGAGCUGAUCAACCCUCUCAGUGUAUCCUAGGAGUGUAAUGACUUAUCCAGGAGAAAUGCUGUGCCCUAUGUGGAGAAAGCUCAGCUGAUCUGUUCACCCAGCUGAGAUGCUGUGCCCUUCAAGGAACUAGCUAAUCAUCAGAGCAAAUCAACCAUCACCUAUACCAUGCCGUACAGUGAACUUCAUGAGGACUCUGGAGAAGUUGCAUCAAAGCCCUCAAGUUCCAGAGUUGGUCAAUCUGUGUCACCCAUAUGUCAUGCCAUUUUAAUUUAUGGUUAAGUCCACUCUCCUCCAUGGUAUCUGAAUGUAUGUGUGAGACAAUGUACCCCAGGUUCUGGGGAGGAAUGUUUUGUAACUACUAAUCUUGUCAUGUCAUUUGUAUGA